Molecule: ribosomal RNA, 253 nt
Filed under: uncultured Eubacteriales bacterium
Lineage: Bacteria; Bacillati; Bacillota; Clostridia; Eubacteriales
Description: uncultured Clostridiales bacterium partial 16S ribosomal RNA
Rfam family: Bacterial small subunit ribosomal RNA
Source: RNAcentral
UACGGAGGAUGCGAGCGUUAUCCGGAAUUACUGGGUGUAAAGGGAGCGUAGACGGCUGUGCAAGUCUGGAGUGAAAGGCGGGGGCCCAACCCCCGGACUGCUCUGGAAACUGUAUAGCUGGAGUGCAGGAGAGGUAAGUGGAAUUCCUAGUGUAGCGGUGAAAUGCGUAGAUAUUAGGAGGAACACCAGUGGCGAAGGCGGCCUGCUGGACGGUGACUGACGCUGAAGCACGAAAGCGUGGGUAUCGAACAGG